GUGUCAUAUCAUCUAAUUUUAUUAAGUAAAUAUCAAACAAAUUAUUUUGGAAAUUAAGACUAUAUUAAUAAAUUGAAUAAAAGUUUGACUACGUGCACCUGUGGAGUCACAUAAGUAUUAAUGUAUUACAUUAUUUCUCAGAUUACCUUGGAAAUUUGCAUUUACUAACAAAUAGAUUAAUGUAUUACAUUAUUUCUCAGAUUACCUUGGAAAUUUGCAUUUACUAACAAAUAGAAAAAGAAAAAAAAAAUUUGAAUACUCUGGUGUCCUUAACCCCCAAAUUUUUCUCUCACUGUAUUUCCGAGUUCGAACCCAUAGAUAAAAUGUUUAUAAUAUAAACAAAGAGUAUUUGAACUUGUUGACAAAAAAAAAGACAGAGUAUAUUUGAACUUUGGACUAUACUACUUAACUUUGGCAUUGUUUACUUGUGAA
This 432-nucleotide long non-coding RNA is filed under the name Arabidopsis lyrata. Its description in RNAcentral is "long non-coding RNA (ALYR_LNC000654)". Lineage: Eukaryota; Viridiplantae; Streptophyta; Magnoliopsida; Brassicales; Brassicaceae. The record is from RNAcentral.